RNAcentral lists this ribosomal RNA (253 nucleotides) under uncultured bacterium. RNAcentral's name for it is "partial 16S ribosomal RNA". It matches the Rfam family "Bacterial small subunit ribosomal RNA", at positions 524 to 776 of the family's 1533-position model. The record is from RNAcentral.
AACGUAGGAGGCGAGCGUUAUCCGGAUUUACUGGGUGUAAAGCGCGUGCAGGCGGUUUGCUAAGUUGGAUGUGAAAGCUCCCGGCUCAACUGGGAGAGGUCGUUCAAGACUGGUAGACUGGAGAGCAGUAGGGGAAGGUGGAAUUCCGGGUGUAGUGGUGAAAUGCGUAGAUAUCCGGAGGAACACCAGUGGCGAAGGCGGCCUUCUAGACUGCAUCUGACGCUCAGACGCGAAAGCUAGGGUAGCAAACGGG